RNAcentral lists this ribosomal RNA (439 nucleotides) under uncultured bacterium. RNAcentral describes it as "partial 16S ribosomal RNA". It matches the Rfam family "Bacterial small subunit ribosomal RNA", at positions 339 to 795 of the family's 1533-position model. The record is from RNAcentral.
CUACGGGGUGCACCAGUGAGGAAUAUUGCACAAUGGGGGGAAUCCUGAUGCAGCAACGCCGCGUGGAGGAUGACGCAUUUCGGUGUGUAAACUCCUUUUAUAUGUCAAGAAAAUGACGGUAGCAUAUGAAUAAGCACCGGCUAACUCCGUGCCAGCAGCCGCGGUAAUACGGAGGGUGCAAGCGUUACUCGGAAUCACUGGGCGUAAAGGACGCGUAGGCGGGUUGGAAAGUCAGGUGUGAAAUCCUACAGCUUAACUGUAGAACCGCACUUGAAACUUCUAAUCUAGAGUAUGGGAGGGGGAGAUGGAAUUAGUGGUGUAGGGGUAAAAUCCGUAGAUAUCACUAGGAAUACCUAAAGCGAAGGCGAUCUCCUGGAACAUUACUGACGCUAAGGCGUGAAAGCGUGGGGAGCAAACAGGAUUAGAUACCCUUGUAGUC